GAUGAACGCUGGCGGCGUGCCUAAUACAUGCAAGUCGAGCGAACAGACGAGGAGCUUGCUCCUCUGACGUUAGCGGCGGACGGGUGAGUAACACGUGGAUAACCUACCUAUAAGACUGGGAUAACUUCGGGAAACCGGAGCUAAUACCGGAUAAUAUAUUGAACCGCAUGGUUCAAUAGUGAAAGACGGUUUUGCUGUCACUUAUAGAUGGAUCCGCGCCGCAUUAGCUAGUUGGUAAGGUAACGGCUUACCAAGGCAACGAUGCGUAGCCGACCUGAGAGGGUGAUUGGCCACACUGGAACUGAGACACGGUCCAGACUCCUACGGGAGGCAGCAGUAGGGAAUCUUCCGCAAUGGGCGAAAGCUUGACGGAGCAACGCCGCGUGAGUGAUGAAGGUCUUCGGAUCGUAAAACUCUGUUAUUAGGGAAGAACAAAUGUGUAAGUAACCAUGCACGUCUUGACGGUACCUAAUCAGAAAGCCACGGCUAACUACGUG
Molecule: ribosomal RNA, 497 nt
Filed under: uncultured bacterium
Lineage: Bacteria
Description: partial 16S ribosomal RNA
Rfam family: Bacterial small subunit ribosomal RNA
Source: RNAcentral